AGUGAUCGCGAUGAAGAUAGAUAAGCUCCCUCUUCUGAAAUUUCAAAUUGAGGAAACUGGCUGGCUGAAUCGAACCUUAAAUCUUAUCGCCACCACUGAGCGA
Molecule: small nucleolar RNA, 103 nt
Organism: Lathyrus oleraceus (garden pea)
Lineage: Eukaryota; Viridiplantae; Streptophyta; Magnoliopsida; Fabales; Fabaceae
Product: small nucleolar RNA R30/Z108
Exons: 1
Source: RefSeq, a predicted model, not a curated record